Molecule: ribosomal RNA, 253 nt
Filed under: uncultured bacterium
Lineage: Bacteria
Description: partial 16S ribosomal RNA
Rfam family: Bacterial small subunit ribosomal RNA
Source: RNAcentral
UACGGAGGAAGCAAACGUUGCUCGGAAUCAUUGGGCGUAAAGCGCACGUAGGCGGUCCGGUAUGUCUGAUGUGAAAGCCCUCGGCUCAACCGAGGAAGUGCAUUCGAAACUGCCGGUCUUGAGUACGGGAGAGGGAUGCGGAAUUCCCGGUGUAGAAGUGAAAUUCGUAGAUAUCGGGAGGAACACCAGUGGCGAAGGCGGCAUCCUGGACCGAUACUGACGCUGAGGUGCGAAAGCGUGGGGAGCAAACAGG